ACUAACAUUAUUGAGGAGGAGAAAUCCAUACCCACUUGAUGAUAAUGUUGAUUAUGGUUAUGAGGAUGGUGAGGACACUCAAGGUGUCAACCUAUUAUGUCUUUAUUAUACCACUGACACCGAGGAAGAAAGUGAAACU
This is a long non-coding RNA of Telopea speciosissima, 139 nucleotides long. RefSeq lists it as uncharacterized. The record is from RefSeq and is a predicted model, not a curated record. The transcript is spliced from 3 exons. NCBI's taxonomy places the organism in Eukaryota, Viridiplantae, Streptophyta, Magnoliopsida, Proteales, Proteaceae.